Molecule: ribosomal RNA, 494 nt
Filed under: Zootoca vivipara (common lizard)
Lineage: Eukaryota; Metazoa; Chordata; Lepidosauria; Squamata; Lacertidae
Description: partial 16S ribosomal RNA
Rfam family: Bacterial large subunit ribosomal RNA
Source: RNAcentral
GGUCUCGCCUGCCCAGUGACUCUUUUAAACGGCCGCGGUAUCCUAACCGUGCAAAGGUAGCAUAAUCACUUGUCUCUUAAAUAGAGACUAGAAUGAAUGGCUAAAUGAGGACUAAUCUGUCUCUUACGGACCAACCAAUGAAAUUAAUCUUUCAGUACAAAAGCUGAAAUAAAAACAUAAGACGAGAAGACCCUGUGGAGCUUCAAACCAGACACACCCUGCAUGCUCCUCAGGUUUUUAGUUGGGGCGACUUCGGAGCACAAUAAAACCUCCAAAAUUUUUUAUCUUCAAGAUUAACAAACCAAAAACUUUAUUAGACCCAGCAAUGUAUAACAUUGUCUGACCAUUGAACCAAGUUACCCCAGGGAUAACAGCGCCAUCCCCUCCUAGAGUUCAUAUCGACAAGGGGGUUUACGACCUCGAUGUUGGAUCAGGACACCCCAAUGGUGCAGCCGCCAUUAAAGGUUCGUUUGUUCAACGAUUAAUUAGUCCUA